AUUUACCGCUGAAAGGCUGUUUUUAACCGGGAAAAUAAUUUUUUAGUUUAUAACUAGAAAUUUAAAUUUAAAUUAUUAAAAAAACAAAAUCUGGCAUGUCGUAGGCGUACUCCACGGAGAAGGGUUUGUCCAGCGUGACCUUCUAGAAGAGCGUUUCCGUCUCGAGCGGGCUGAGGCCUGAGCCCAAGGCUGAGCCCGAGCCAGACUGGAUGCUGGACGGGGUGCGGACGGCGGGGGCAGAAGCCGAUCUGUUGUUGGCACAUGGUGAAUGUGGAGCUGGCGACGACGGCGAACGAGUGGUUGAGGUUGGCGAUGGCGGUUUUCUUGUGGGAAGGGAGGGAUGAUUUUGCAGAUGCCGUACUUGGAAGCUUCCUUCUCGAUCUUGAAUAUGUAGCCAAUUGGAUGUUGGAAAAAGAAAUCUACUAGUGGUUGAUGAUGUUGUUUAUCGUGAAAGAGAGACGGGGAUGGUGGUCAGAAAAUAUUCAACAAUGAUUAGCUCCGUUAAAGCAUAUAGAGGAGGAGUUAAAAAAAAAGAAGGAAAGAAACCUGCUAAAUAAGUUGGCUCUACAGUUUAAAAAAAAGGUGAAAGGACCAAUGAUCUAGGGUAUAAAUGCUACCGAAGAAGAUGGAGGCCAAAGUAGAUACUCUGGAGAACAAGGUGACAAACAGCAAAACAACACUUGUAGCAAUGCAAGCGAAGGUAGAUGAAAAUUAGGAGAAGUUGAUUGCAUUAAUUACAAAGAACAUGGAGGGUGAUAAUUAAGAAAAACUUACAAGUAUGAUCACGUAAAGCAUUGAAUCCUGUCAAAUUAGGUUGUCGAGUGUGAAGAAUUUACAAGGAGAGACAUUGGAUGAAUUUUGUCAAUCAACAAAGAAGGUGAAAUUGCCAUUGUUCACCGAAGAAGACUCAACGAGAUGGAUUGCACGCCGAAGUCUAUUUUCAUGUACGAGAAACAAGUCGGUGAGCUUAGCACAACUUUGUAUGAAGGGUUCAACAAUCCAUUUCUUCGAAUCACUAAAUGAAGAGACAGAGUUGACAUGGGAGCAAUUGAAACACGAGUUGUUAGAACACUAUGGCGAAAUUGACAAGGGGGAUAUUUUCGAGCAACUUGCGGCAUUACAAGAAGUGAGGAGUGUAGAUGAAUAUGUACAAGAGGUUGAGAGGUUAUUUGUCAGGUUAGUCGCUUACUCAAUGACCAAUAUUUUGGAUAUUUCAUCCAUGGAUUGAAGGAAGGAAUUCGAGAGAGUUCAGAGCAUGCGUGCAAUAGGGCCUCUGCCAUGAUCACAUUUGAUCAAUUUGGCAAAGAGCAAUUGAGUGUGAGUUGAAAGAGAAAUUGGGUUGGACGACAUCACAAAGUUGAAGAGGAAAGACUAAUUUCAACCACAAUUCCCACUACCGUUCCACUCCACAUAGCUUGAUACAAACCCAUAGUGUGGGACGCAAUAAUAGUAACUAGUGGGUCUAUGUCUGAAGGGGUAAGGAGGUUAACCACUGAGGACAUAAUAGAGUUGUCUCCAAACAAGACUAGGUGCAUGAAUGGCAGAGGCAAGGACAUCAGGAUAGAGAUUUAAGGCAUUUGUCUUGCCAGGAAUUAGUGGAGAGAAAACAAAAAGGAUUUUGUUAUAAGUGUGGCGGACCGUUACAUCCUCUCCACCAAUUAGGGGUGUUCAUGGAUUAGAUUUUUGAAAAAUCCAAACCAAAUUGAACCAAUCCAUUUUAUAAAAACGGAUCAAUUAACUGAUCCAUUUUUUAUAGAGUAGAUUGAUUUGAUUUUUUUUAAAAUAUCGAUCGAUUUGUUUGAAAUUGGAUCAGUUCAGUGUGAUGCGGUUAUCCAUUUUUUACUCAUAUCGAUUGAUUUUUUAAAAAAAUUGAACCGAACUGAACCAAUCCACUUUGUAAAAAUGGAUCAGAUAAUUGAACUAUUUUUGUAAAGUAGAAUGGUUCGGAUUUUUUUUUUCAAAAUGGGUCAAAUUUUUCAAUGCGGAUCAAAUUGAUUAUGAAUCGGUUUGGAUUUUUUACACACCACUACCACCAAUGUCCCGAUCGCCAAUUGAGGAUUAUGGUGUUAGAUGAUGUGGAAGAAGAAAAAGGUGAAGCUAAUGUCAUUGCUAUAAAAGAAUAAGAUGACGGAGAGGAGAAGGGUGAGUGUAGCAUGAUGAAUUUAGGCAACUUAUGCACUGAUAAGGGGUGGAAACCACAAACUAUGAAGAUCCGUGGGACAAUUAAAUGGUUACCCUAUUCUUAUGCUAGUUGACAGUGGGGCAACCCACAACUUCAUCUCUAAAAAACUAGUGGCAGCAAUGGAUUGGCCAGUCAAAAAACACUAAAGCAAUGAGAAUUAAGUUAGGGGAUGGAUACAAAGCCUUGGUGCAAGGAGUUUAUAAGAAUGUUGAGUUGGAAGUAGGGAAAAUUGUGGUAGUUGUAGAUACAUUUCUCUUUGACUUAGAGGAAAUUGAUGUGAUUUUGGGUAUUUCUUAGUUGGCAUCCUUAGGAGGAAUGUGGAUAGAUUGGGGUAAGCAGUGCAUAUAGUUUCAAUUCAACAAACAAUGGGUGGAGCUUAAAGGAGAACCUAAUGGUUAUGCAAGCCAUUUUAGCUUUGUAGGCAUUUGUUGGGGAAUCAGUGAGGUGCACCUUUCAAUUCCAUUGGAGAAUGAGAAUGGAACAAAAGGGAUGGAGGAAUUAUUGGAGUUGAUCAAGAAAUAUUCGAAUGUUUUCAAGGAACCCAAAAGUUUGCCUCCAAAAAGGGAAAAGGAACAUACCAUUACCUUAUUUGAAGGACAGGGACCUGUGAAUGUGAGACCCAGUCAUUACGCACAUCACCAUAAAAAUGAAAUUGAAAGACAAGUCAAGUGAGGUGCACCUUUCAAUUCCAUUGGAGAAUGAGAAUGGAACAAAAGGGAUGGAGGAAUUAUUGGAGUUGAUCAAGAAAUAUUCGAAUGUUUUCAAGGAACCCAAAAGUUUGCCUCCAAAAAGGGAAAAGGAACAUACCAUUACCUUAUUUGAAGGACAGGGACCUGUGAAUGUGAGACCCAGUCAUUACGCACAUCACCAUAAAAAUGAAAUUGAAAGACAAGUCAAGUGAGGUGCACCUUUCAAUUCCAUUGGAGAAUGAGAAUGGAACAAAAGGGAUGGAGGAAUUAUUGGAGUUGAUCAAGAAAUAUUCGAAUGUUUUCAAGGAACCCAAAAGUUUGCCUCCAAAAAGGGAAAAGGAACAUACCAUUACCUUAUUUGAAGGACAGGGACCUGUGAAUGUGAGACCCAGUCAUUACGCACAUCACCAUAAAAAUGAAAUUGAAAGACAAGUCAAGGAGCUACUGAUUAACUACAUGCUGCUCAAUUUUUCUCUAAAUUAGACCUCAAAUUGGGUCGUCAUCUAGUGUGGGUCUGGGUUGAAGAUAUACAUAAAACAACAUUUAGAACUCGUGAAGGACAUUAUGAAUAUUUGGUAAUGCGAUUCGAAUUGAUGUGUUGAGAGAAAUGGUAAAUGGAAAGAACAUAUUUCUUGUGUAUUGCAAAACAAAAGAUAUGUUUAUAUACAAAGUAGUGGGCCUAGGCCCAUGAGAUAAAACUAUAUCUAACAUGAUGAAUGCACCUUCCACUUUCCAAUCUCUCAUGAAUGAAAUUUUUAAAGUCAUGCUAAGAAGGUAUGUGUUAUUUUUCUUUGAUGAUAUCUUGGUCUAUAAUCUUGACUGAGACACCCACAAGCAACACUUGCACAAUGUUUUGGAGUUGUUACAAACACAACUAGUAGUAAAUAAAAAAAAAUGUCAUUUCGCCCAAACUGCUUUUGAGUAUUUGAGACAUGUUAUCUCAAAAGAGGGGGUAGCCAUGGACCCUAGUAAAAUUAGAAGUGUGCUUCAAUGGCCUAUACCCAAGAACGUAAAAGGGGUGAGAGGUUUUUUGGGUUUAACGGACUAUUACCAAAAAUUUAUUCAAGAUUAUGGAAAACUAGCUAAGCCCCUAAUCGAGCUCACAAAGAAGGAUGGGUUUCAAUGGACUUAAGCUGCACAAGAGACAUUUGAGUUACGCAAGCAAAAGAUUACCUCAACCCCAAUGUUAGCAUUACCUUAUUUUACUCAAGAGUUCACCAUUGAAAGUGAUGCCUUUGGUCAAGGUUUAGGUGCCAUCCUAACACAAUGGCAAACCAAUAGCUUAUUUUAGUAAAGCUUUGGGAGAUAGGAAUCUAUCCAAGUUAGCUUAUGAGAAAGAGUUGAUGGUUGUGGCUUUAGCUAUCCAACAUUGAGACCCUAUUUACUAGGUCAAAACAUUGAUUGAAAGAGCUUACGUCAAUUGUUGCUACAAAGGGUAACAACCGGGGAUCAAUAAAAAUUGGGCAACCAAAUUGUUAGGAUAUACAUUUGACAUUGUUUACAAGCCAAGCUUAGAGAACAAGGGUACUGAUGCAUUGUCACGAAUGUAUGGAGAGGGGGAAUUCAAUUCUUUGAUACAUCAUACCAAUUGGAUUAAGGGAAGGAAGGUGAUAGAAGGGGUGCAUGAAGAUGAGAUACUCAAAUAUAUGAUCAAGGACUUUUAGUAGGGCAAGGAGACGAAGUAGGGAUUCUCUUAUCAAAAUGGGGUUUUGUUGUAUGAUGGGAGGUUGAUCAUCUCCAGUAAGUCUCCAUGGAUCCCUGUUCUACUUUAGGAGUUCCACUUCACAUCACAAGGAGGACAUUUGGGGUUUUACAGAACCUAUCAUUGUGUGGUAGCUAAUUUGUAUUGGAUAGGCAUGAAGAAAAGCAUUCAACAGUGGUGAUGGAGUGUGAUGUUUUCCAGAGACAAAAAUAUUUGGCUAUAGCUCUUGGGGGCUUAUUACAAUUGCUGAAUAUUCUUGAAAAAAUAUGGGAAGAAAUUUCCAUGGGCUUCUUAACUGGUUUACCUAGAUCCAAAGGGUAUGAAGCGAUUUUGGUGGUUGUUGACAGGCUUUUUAAAUAUAGUCACUUCAUUCCUUUGAAACACCCAUACAUUGCUUGAACAGUGGCUAAAAUUUUCAUCAAGGAAGUGGUGAGGCUACAUGGUAUUCCAACAUCUAUUAAAAGUGAUUGAGAUCCAAUUUUUGUAGUAACUUUUGGGAGAUAUUCAAAUUGCAGGGCACUCAUUCACAGAUGAGCAUAGCAUACCAUCCUCAAAUGGAUGGACAAACUGAGGUAAUUAAUCAUUGUUUAGAGACAUUCCUACGAUGUUUUAUUGCAGACCAACCUAAGACUUGGGUGCAAUGGUUAUCAUGGGUUGAGUACUAGUACAAUACUACUGUACAUGCAUCCAUCGAGACCACACCCUUUGAGACCAUCUAUGGGGGAGCACCCCCUGUCAUCAUUCAUUUUUUACAAGGGGAGACCAAAGUGGAAGCAGUCCAAAGGGAACUCUUGGAUAGAGAUGAGGCAUUGCGACAACUCAAAUACCAUUUGCAAAGGGCUCAAAAUAGGAUGAAGGUUCAGGUUGAUCAUAAGCAGCAGGAACAAAAUUUUGCAAAUGGAGACUGGAUCUUCUUGAAGUCAAGACCUCAUGGAUAACAAACAAUAAGAGAACAAAUCUGUUCAAAGCUGGCUCCUAGAUACUAUGGUCCAUUUCAAGUCAUCGAAAAGGUUGGGGUUGUGGCUUAGAGACUUAAAUUGCCUGAUUCAUCUCGAAUUCAUCUUGUAUUUCAGGUGUCAUUGUUGAAGAAAGCCAUUGGAGACUAUUGGGUGGAGAAGGAACUUCCUCAAGGAAUGGAAGGGGACUCUGCACAUUAAUAUGAACCUAUUGAUGUCCUCGUUACUAGAACAGUGACUAAAGGAGGAGAUUCUAUCCAUCGGUUGCUAAUACAAUGGAAGGACAAGGCUGUAGAGGAGGCCAUAUGAGAUGAGGAAUUCAACAUUUGGAGUUAGUUUCCUAAUUUCAGACUAGAGGACAAGUCUAAUUUUCUAGAGGGGAGCAAUUAUAGGACCUUAGAUUGUCAUUUGGGCCUUGAUGGGCCAUUAGCACAUCAAUUGACCAAGCCUAAAGUGUGGAGAGUGUAUGUCACGAGAAACAAAAGAGGCAAAGGGGAGAAUGUUGACGUGGCAGAGAGAGGAGUGGAACAAUUUGGGUGGGGGAGUUUUCUAUUGUAUUGGUAGAGUAAGGGGGGAUGACACUUUUGGGAACGAUUCAAGAAAUUAGUUAUGGACAGAGAGCAUUAUCCCACUGUAGGAGCUCAACUCUGUGGUAGUGGAAUAUCCAUUCCACUGUAACUUUUCUUGUUAUUCAGCAAAAAUAAUACAACAGUUACUCAUAUACUUUUGUUUUGCCUUGUUAUUCAGUAUAUGGUUCUGGGUUUUUAACAUGUCUAGAGCAUGCUUCCUUUGAGAAAUUACCGGUCUGUCUUUGGAUUAGGCCACCUCAAUACCUAAGAAAUACCGAACCUUCCCAUGGUCCUUGAUUUGAAAUUGUCUCGAGAGGUAUCGUUUGAGAUUAAUAUUAUAAUAAUGUCAUCCACAAUUCCACAUCUAUAAUGAGGUAGAUGUACACUUGAGGGCAAUGGCAAUUGGCGGUAGAAGACGCAAUGGUCGACUUCUUUAGGAGUCCGUCCAAAUUGUUGUACCAUAGUGUGAAAUUUGCCAAACCAAGCAUGAGGGAUCUGUUUAAGUACAUAGAAGGGUUUGUGAAGUUGGAAGACCAUGGUAGAGGAAAAUACAAUAUUCAAUUGAAACUGCACAGCAACCCACAACUAACCCCAACUAACAGAAAAUUAACCGAAUGAAAAUCGGUGUACAAUAUACUAGGACUCUGAGAAGAGCUCACUAUCACUUGACCUUGUAUUUCCUUUCUAAUAAAUGUUGUAAGUCAAUUCAUGUCUUCUUAUACUAACACUCGGUUGGAAGUACCAAUCCACAUUGUUAACUAUUUGAAGAAAGCUACAAGAAAAGGGAUUGUUUAUCAAGAUCAUGGACAUAUGAAGGUGGAGGCUUUCUCUAAUGCAAAUUAGGUAUGGUCUCUUAUGGACUGCAAAUUUACCAUAGGCUACUAUGUAUAUAUGGGAGGUAAUUUGAUCUCAUGGAAAAGUAAGAAGCAUAAUUUGGUGGUGAGAUCCUGUGUAGAAAGCUAUGGCUAAAACAACUUAUGAGUUAAUAUGGGCGAGAUAGAUUUUAGAGAUGGGAUUUACCAAGCUUCCAUAUAUAUCACAUCAAACCUAGUUUUUCAUGAAGUAACAAAGCAUAUUGAGGUAGAUUGUUACUUUAUCCGAGAAAAGAUCCAAGACAAUCUUAUAUCUACUUAUGUUAAGAUAGACAACCAACUAGCAGAUGUUUUUCCAAAAGCAUUGAAUGGGAUGUGUAGUGAUUUUAUUUGUUACAAGUUGAGCAUGAAUAACAUCUAUGCUUCAACUUGAGGAGAAGUGUUAAGAAUUAUUGUUAAGAAUAAAGGGUUUUAGUAUGUAUACGGGCUUGGCUCAUAUGCUUGUAUAUACUUAGCUUAGUAAUAUGAACAUGAGGGCUGCUACACAUUGCAGUGUAUUCAGUUACGGUUUACUCAUUUGUCUCCCUCUCUCUUAACAAAACCAUUGAUGGAUAGAGACAUAAGCUUUCUCGUAAAUUUGGGUGGAUUAAAAAGGGCACAAUCUUUCAAAGAGAUUACGAGACAGAUGUUUGUAUUAAGUUGUACAUCUAUCAACUUUAUUACCUAACACCAAUUUCUAAAACUAACCUC
This is a long non-coding RNA of Cajanus cajan (pigeon pea), 7660 nucleotides long. RefSeq lists it as uncharacterized. Lineage: Eukaryota; Viridiplantae; Streptophyta; Magnoliopsida; Fabales; Fabaceae. The record is from RefSeq and is a predicted model, not a curated record.